CUGGCAGGCAAAAGUUGCUUACAAUAAAAAAUAUAUUGACUUGAAACUUCAAAUGUCAUGUAAAUUCAGAUUGAGUAGGAUAUGUAAAUAUUUUAAAACGGAACAAUUUAUCACAAAAUAAGAAGUGAAAAUAAACAUACCUUCAUAAAUUCAAGAUGUGUUGGCUAGGCUGGGCAGCUAUAUUUUCGUUGUUUUCCUAUGUAUAUAAUGGACCACUAGUACCCCCACCACCAAAAUAACGUUUUAAAAAUGGAAGGUACCGAGGAUAAAAUCAAGUGGAUGUCUUGAAGAAAAGAAUUGUCAGUAAAAAUGUAACUUGUUGUAUAUAUUUUACUCAUAUUUUACAAAUAAAAUUUUAUUAUAUUCAUUA
This is a long non-coding RNA of Cydia pomonella (codling moth), 370 nucleotides long. RefSeq lists it as uncharacterized. NCBI's taxonomy places the organism in Eukaryota, Metazoa, Arthropoda, Insecta, Lepidoptera, Tortricidae. The transcript has 2 exons. The record is from RefSeq and is a predicted model, not a curated record.